UACAGAGGUCUCAAGCGUUGUUCGGAUUCAUUGGGCGUAAAGGGUGCGUAGGUGGCGCUGUAAGUCGGGUGUGAAAUCUCGGAGCUUAACUCCGAAACUGCAUUCGAUACUGCGGUGCUUGAGGACUGGAGAGGAGACUGGAAUUCAUGGUGUAGCAGUGAAAUGCGUAGAGAUCAUGAGGAAGACCAGUGGCGAAGGCGGGUCUCUGGACAGUUCCUGACACUGAGACACGAAGGCCAGGGGAGCAAACGGG
RNAcentral lists this ribosomal RNA (253 nucleotides) under uncultured bacterium. RNAcentral's name for it is "partial 16S ribosomal RNA". It matches the Rfam family "Bacterial small subunit ribosomal RNA", at positions 524 to 776 of the family's 1533-position model. The record is from RNAcentral.